ACUCCUACGGGAGGCAGCAGUAGGGAAUCUACCGCAAUGGACGAAAGUCUGACGGAGCAACGCCGCGUGAGUGAAGAAGGUUUUCGGAUCGUAAAACUCUGUUGUUAGGGAAAAACAAGUGCGAGAGUAACUGCUCGCACCUUGACGGUACCUGACCAGAAAGCCACGGCUAACUACGUGCCAGCAGCCGCGGUAAU
RNAcentral lists this ribosomal RNA (197 nucleotides) under uncultured Bacillus sp. RNAcentral's name for it is "partial 16S ribosomal RNA". It matches the Rfam family "Bacterial small subunit ribosomal RNA", at positions 335 to 524 of the family's 1533-position model. Lineage: Bacteria; Bacillati; Bacillota; Bacilli; Caryophanales; Bacillaceae. The record is from RNAcentral.